Pelobates cultripes (western spadefoot toad) is the source of this 398-nucleotide non-coding RNA. NCBI's taxonomy places the organism in Eukaryota, Metazoa, Chordata, Amphibia, Anura, Pelobatidae. The record is from the annotation of a GenBank genome assembly.
CCUUGCCGCUGCGGAAGGUGGCUAUUACAUCUCUCGUGCUGGUGGCCAGGGCCCUCAGUGGCUUGGGGACCCUGAAGACCUCCUCUGGGGUAAUUGUUUUGCCUUGUCUGUGUGGCAGUAUUGCUGAUAGCAUGCGCCCCGUGACUUUCGACAGCUCAGUGUCUGGUACCUCUUCAGGGACUCCUCUAAUCUUUAUGUUAAGCCUUUGCCUGGAGUCCUCUUGAGCCGCCAGACGGCGUUCAUGUUGCAGGUUCUGCAAUUGUAGGUUCUGCACGGUCUGUUGUAGCGUGGCUAUGUUCUGGGUUUGAGACUGUGAGCAUCCCUCCAGUUUCGUAAUGAGGCCUGUCAGGCCUCUUAAUUCCGUGCGUAGCACCAUGACAUCCUCGUGGAUGUGUUUC